Molecule: ribosomal RNA, 549 nt
Filed under: uncultured bacterium
Lineage: Bacteria
Description: bacterial SSU rRNA
Rfam family: Bacterial small subunit ribosomal RNA
Source: RNAcentral
AUUAGUUAGUUGGCGGGGUAAUGGCCCACCAAGACGAUGAUCGGUAGCCGGACUGAGAGGUUGGCCGGCCACACUGGAACUGAGACACGGUCCAGACUCCUACGGGAGGCAGCAGUGGGGAAUCUUGCGCAAUGGACGAAAGUCUGACGCAGCAACGCCGCGUGGGGGAUGAAGCUUCUCGGAGUGUAAACCCCUUUCGACCCGGACGAAUGCCCGCAAGGGUUUGACGGUACGGGUAUAAGAAGCCCCGGCUAACUACGUGCCAGCAGCCGCGGUAAAACGUAGGGGGCCAGCGUUGCUCGGAAUUACUGGGCGUAAAGGGUCCGUAGGCGGUGUGGCAAGUCGGAAGUGAAAUCUCUGGGCUUAACCCAGAGGCUGCUCCCGAAACUGCCAUGCUAGAGUGUGAGAGAGGCGAGUGGAAUUGCGGGUGUAGCGGUGAAAUGCGUAGAUAUCCGCAGGAACAUCCGAGGCGAAAGCGGCUCGCUGGAUCACAACUGACGCUGAGGGACGAAAGCUAGGGGAGCAAACAGGAUUAGAUACCCUGGUAGU